CAACCACUGGUGUUGGGUUUGACAUCUUGAAUUCGAUUUUGAUUGGUUAAUAGAAGCCCAAGACUCAAAAAUAAGUGGAGAAAUCACAAAAAUUGAGCUCAAUUGGAUUCGAACCGGAGGUGAACUGGCCAAUUUGGAGGUGAAUCGGUGAAGAACCAGCAGUAAAUCGACUGAACCAGUUGAAAACUGACUGAAAACCAAGUGAAUAGAUUCUAAACCGGACUGAACCGGUACAAAUUGGUGCUGAACCAGCCGCUAGACCG
This 263-nucleotide long non-coding RNA is filed under the name Elaeis guineensis (African oil palm). RNAcentral's name for it is "long non-coding RNA (EGUI_LNC009459)". The record is from RNAcentral. Lineage: Eukaryota; Viridiplantae; Streptophyta; Magnoliopsida; Arecales; Arecaceae.